UUACAUGAAGCACAAAGACAGCACAACUGU
This 30-nucleotide non-coding RNA is filed under the name Mus musculus (house mouse). Lineage: Eukaryota; Metazoa; Chordata; Mammalia; Rodentia; Muridae. The record is from RNAcentral.